GGACAAUGUGUUAGGCCACAUUUUCCCAGAAGCAGACCUUGAGAGGAAAGGAAUGAAAACAGUUUAUCCCAGGAAGCACUGGGAAGAGAGAGGGACAGAAGACAGGGAGAGAAGGAGGCCAGCAAAGAGAUGGGGUCUCACUCCUGUUACCCAGGCUGGAGUGCAGUGGUGCAAUCACGGCUCACUGCAGCCUUGACUUCCUGGGCUCACGUGAUCCUCCCACUCUUAGCCUACUGAGUAGCUGGGACCACAGUCCUUUAGGAAAUUUAAGGGCUCAUGGUCUCCUUCAAACUUCAUUGUGGCCUGGGACGGAAGGAAACUUACCAGGGAGACUUUCAGCGGCUUCGCCAAUGUGGCAGAGGUGGAAAGCGAUAACAACUGUGUCCACUCUGUUUCCCAUCCAUCAUUCAUUCAUCCAAGGAAUAUUCUUAAGCACUGUCAACUGAAGAAUGAUGAGGUUCACACAUGUGGAAAGGAGAUCUUUAUUUAUCAUAAACAGAGGCAGCCUGCAGGCCAGCCAUCCCAUAGGCUGGGCAGCAUGGCCUCUGGCUCUGCAGAGAGCAAGCAGUUUGAGGGAAGGGUAAAGGGAACAGGAACUUAUGCUGAGUGAGACGGCUGAAUAUACACACGUAACCAGCGACCGGAGGAGCCAUGAAUACUGAUGAAAGGAGAAACAUGCACAUGCGUGGUCCAGCUUCAUGCCUCUUCUUGGGUUGCAUGUCCAAACAAUACCAGGGUUAGUAUGAUCCUCAAGGGUGGAAUUUUUGGUCCUCAGACAUCAAAAGGUGAAGCAAAGGACGUGAAAACCCUCACGCACAUCCUCCAGAG
RNAcentral lists this long non-coding RNA (828 nucleotides) under Homo sapiens (human). RNAcentral describes it as "HSALNT0050934". The record is from RNAcentral. Lineage: Eukaryota; Metazoa; Chordata; Mammalia; Primates; Hominidae.